UUAACUUUGCAGAAGGGUUGACAUCCUGGUCAGUUGGUGCAUAGUUGGUGCAUAGCAAGCGACAAAGGAAAAGAAGCGAUGUUAGCAUCAUAAAAAUUGGGCUAUCAACUGUUGAUAGCCCAGUCGUGGUGUGAACAUCUCUUCUUGCCCUUUGUUGCUUGUUGCUUGUGACUGGCUUUUUCCUUCAGCUUAUUAACUAUACAAUUGAUGAAAAUGUGUUAGUAAGAUCAUGAUGGGAAUGAAAGGAUAUAUGCUUGGUAUUGAUAGAAUUGAACAAGAUAUUAGUGCUAUAAUGUGGAAUUCCUAUUUUGAAUUGUCACAAGAGAGCCUCAUAAUAUUUUGCACAUGAUCAUGAAUGAGGAUACAAUGACUUGUAUUUUUGCCUUCAUGUAAUCGGUAAAAAAAAAUGUUGUGCUUACUGCUGCUCUAAUAAUGCUCAAGCUUCACAUCAAGAUUGCAUUUUCUAGUCCAGAUUGCUCAAUAUAACACUUGACACUGUUACUUGCCUGGAUUUUUAAGAAAGAAGUGCAAAGUUGCCUUCGUCUGCCCCCUUCACAAUUGGGCAAGCUAGCUUCUGCUAAGGCAACACUAGUAUUGACUGGUGUUGCUUUGACUCCGCUGUUGACGGCAAUAUUUUUGUAAUUGUUCAGUGAAGACUUGCCACGGCAACAGUUGUUUUCAUACUAAUUCGACUAUAUUUGUGGCAAACGUUUAUUAUGCCAUUGUAUUGCGCAAAGGAAAAGGUGGUGGCUGUCUUUGGGCUGGUCCAGACGGGCUCACUUGAUACAACGAAGGCAUACUUGAAGAGAAGUUUCACCGAGGACCUCUCUCCUCUUGGAGCAUGCUGCUGUGGAAGAAGAGGUCCAGAGAAACUGGCAGCACAAAUAAUAUGCAAAGAAGGGACAAGGGGAAGAAUCGCCAAAGUUUAACAGAGGCCUAAAAGUCUGCCUAUCUUAUUUUAUCAUGGUCCAUCCUGCUCAGCACAACAUCACAAAACUCCUGGUGUAGCCCCAAGGGUCCCAAAACUUUCUUUUGUCAUUGUUGCUGUUACUGUAGUAAUUAUUUACUUAAUAAACAGAAGCUUUUACUAUG
Long non-coding RNA from Dermacentor albipictus, 1092 nucleotides. RefSeq lists it as uncharacterized. NCBI's taxonomy places the organism in Eukaryota, Metazoa, Arthropoda, Arachnida, Ixodida, Ixodidae. The record is from RefSeq and is a predicted model, not a curated record.